Molecule: ribosomal RNA, 658 nt
Filed under: Leuconeurospora pulcherrima
Lineage: Eukaryota; Fungi; Ascomycota; Leotiomycetes; Thelebolales; Pseudeurotiaceae
Description: mitochondrial SSU rRNA
Rfam family: Bacterial small subunit ribosomal RNA
Source: RNAcentral
GAAUAAAGUUCUAGAUAGAAUACUGAUAAUGACAAUUUUCUAUCUAUUUGUCUUGACCAAAUUACGUGCCAGCAGUCGCGGUAAUACGUAAAAGACUAGUGUUAUUCAUCUUUAAUAGGUUUAAAGGGUACCUAGACGGUAUUAUUAGCCCGAAAUAGGGUACGAUUUUACUAGAGUUAUAUAUGAGAAGGAAGUAUUUAUGGAGGAGAGAUAAAAUUUGAUGAUACCUUAAAGACUGGUAACGGCGAAAGCAACCUUCUAUCUAAUAACUGACGUUGAGGGACGAAGGCCUGGGUAGCAAACAGGAUUAGAUACCCUAGUAGUCCAGGCAGAGAAUUAUGAAUGCCAUAGGUUAGAUUAAUUUAGUCUAUAAAUGAAAGUGUAAGCAUUCCACCUUAAGAGUAAUGCGGCAACGCAGGAACUGAAAUCAUUAGACCGUUUCUGAAACCAGUAGUGAAGUAUGUUAUUUAAUUCGAUGCUCCGCGAAAAACCUUACCACAAUUUGUAUAAUUCUUUAGUAUUUAACGUACAAAUGAAUUACAAGCGUUGCACGGCUGUCUUCAGUUAAUGUCGUGAGAUUUUGGUUAGUUCCAUAAAAUUAACGUAAACCCUUGCUUUAUUUUUAAAUAAUAUUUUAUAAAGUAGUUCGCCAUUAUAU